This 257-nucleotide long non-coding RNA is filed under the name Trifolium pratense (red clover). RNAcentral describes it as "long non-coding RNA (TPRA_LNC006005)". The record is from RNAcentral. Lineage: Eukaryota; Viridiplantae; Streptophyta; Magnoliopsida; Fabales; Fabaceae.
AGGAGAAGUUCACACUUACAACUCAAUAAACUCAGGUCCUAAGUUUGCAUCAAUGAGACACAAGAAAGGCUCACAAUUAACACUCUAAAAUCCUAAAACACACGCUUUGUAAGAACACGGUUUUAGAUGCUUGAAACCAUAUGCUUGCCUUCGUAUUUAUUGCAGUAGAAUGACUUGGGCUUCAAGACAAAAUUAGGGCUUCUAGAAUUGCGGCAGCAGUGAUAUAUUUUUGAAAACAAUAGUUAUAUUUUUGAAAC